RNAcentral lists this ribosomal RNA (529 nucleotides) under uncultured Veillonellaceae bacterium. RNAcentral's name for it is "bacterial SSU rRNA". It matches the Rfam family "Bacterial small subunit ribosomal RNA", at positions 28 to 523 of the family's 1533-position model. Lineage: Bacteria; Bacillati; Bacillota; Negativicutes; Veillonellales; Veillonellaceae. The record is from RNAcentral.
GACGAACGCUGGCGGCGUGCUUAACACAUGCAAGUCGAACGGGAAGACAUGAAGAGCUUGCUCUUUAUGAAAUCCAGUGGCAAACGGGUGAGUAACACGUAAACAACCUGCCUUCAGGAUGGGGACAACAGACGGAAACGACUGCUAAUACCGAAUACGAUUCUUGAGUCGCAUGACACAAGAAAGAAAGGGUGGCCUCUACUUGUAAGCUAUCGCCUGAAGGGGGGUUUGCGUCCGAUUAGGUAGUUGGUGAGGUAACGGCCCACCAAGCCGACGAUCGGUAGCCGGUCUGAGAGGAUGAACGGCCACAUUGGAACUGAGACACGGUCCAGACUCCUACGGGAGGCAGCAGUGGGGAAUCUUCCGCAAUGGGCGAAAGCCUGACGGAGCAACGCCGCGUGAGUGAAGACGGCCUUCGGGUUGUAAAACUCUGUGAUUCGGGACGAAAGAUAAGCAGACGAAUAAUCUGCAUAAGUGACGGUACCGAAAAAGCAAGCCACGGCUAACUACGUGCCAGCCGCCGCGGUAA